RNAcentral lists this transfer RNA (69 nucleotides) under Polydora hoplura. RNAcentral describes it as "tRNA-Asn". Lineage: Eukaryota; Metazoa; Annelida; Polychaeta; Spionida; Spionidae. The record is from RNAcentral.
UAGGAGGAAGCCAAUAUUUCAGGCACCUGUCUGUUAAACAGGCCUUAGCUCCUUUUAGAGCCCUUCUAG